GCCCAGGUGGCGGAACGGUAGACGCGCCGGUUUCAGGGACCGGUCCCCUUCGGGGGGUGGGGGUUCGACUCCCCCUCUGGGCACCA
This 86-nucleotide transfer RNA is filed under the name Deltaproteobacteria bacterium. Its description in RNAcentral is "tRNA-Leu". It matches the Rfam family "tRNA". From Rfam's summary of the family: Transfer RNA (tRNA) molecules are approximately 80 nucleotides in length. The record is from RNAcentral. Lineage: Bacteria; Pseudomonadati; Myxococcota; Myxococcia.